This 429-nucleotide ribosomal RNA is filed under the name Pseudomonadota bacterium. Its description in RNAcentral is "Proteobacteria bacterium partial 16S ribosomal RNA". It matches the Rfam family "Bacterial small subunit ribosomal RNA", at positions 355 to 776 of the family's 1533-position model. The record is from RNAcentral. Lineage: Bacteria; Pseudomonadati; Pseudomonadota.
UGGGGAAUAUUGGACAAUGGGCGAAAGCCUGAUCCAGCCAUGCCGCGUGUGUGAAGAAGGUCUUCGGAUUGUAAAGCACUUUAAGUCGGGAGGAAGGGCAGUAAGCGAAUACCUUGCUGUUUUGACGUUACCGACAGAAUAAGCACCGGCUAACUCUGUGCCAGCAGCCGCGGUAAUACAGAGGGUGCAAGCGUUAAUCGGAAUUACUGGGCGUAAAGCGCGCGUAGGUGGUUCGUUAAGUUGAAUGUGAAAGCCCCGGGCUCAACCUGGGAACUGCAUCCAAAACUGGCGAGCUAGAGUAGGGCAGAGGGUGGUGGAAUUUCCUGUGUAGCGGUGAAAUGCGUAGAUAUAGGAAGGAACCCCAGUGGCGAAGGCGACCACCUGGGCUCAUACUGACACUGAAGUGCGAAAGCGUGGGGAGCAAACAGG